This 116-nucleotide ribosomal RNA is filed under the name uncultured bacterium. RNAcentral's name for it is "partial 16S ribosomal RNA". It matches the Rfam family "Bacterial small subunit ribosomal RNA", at positions 1360 to 1482 of the family's 1533-position model. The record is from RNAcentral.
CGGUGAAUACGUUCCCGGGCCUUGUACACACCGCCCGUCAAGCCACGGAAGUCUGGGGUACCUGAAGUCGGUGACCGUAACAGGAGCUGCCUAGGGUAAAACAGGUAACUAGGGCU